RNAcentral lists this long non-coding RNA (443 nucleotides) under Triticum aestivum (bread wheat). RNAcentral's name for it is "long non-coding RNA (TAES_LNC000944)". Lineage: Eukaryota; Viridiplantae; Streptophyta; Magnoliopsida; Poales; Poaceae. The record is from RNAcentral.
UAAAGCCUAUUUUUACACAACAGCGAGAGCAAGAAUCCUACCCACACACUCAAUAUGAGGAAGGGCAAUCUCAGGCAAAACACUCUCAAGAAGAGCAACCUCAAAUGGGGCAGUCUCACGGAGAGCAAUCUCAAAUGGGGUAGUCUCACGGAGAGCAACCUCAAAUGGGGCAGUCUCAAGGAAAGCACAUUCAGGGAGAGCAACCUCAAAUGGGGCAGUCUCAGGGAAAACACUAUCAAGGAGACCAACCUGAAGAAGGGCAGGGAGGGCAAUCUCAAGAAGAGCAAUCUCAGGCAGGGCCAUAUCCGGGAUGUCAACCUCAUGCAGGGCAAUCUUAUGCAUCACAAUCAACUUAUGGUGGUUGGAAUGGUUUGGAGGAGAACUUUUGUGAUCAUAAGCUAAGUGUGAACAUCGACGAUCCCAGUCAUGCUGACAUAUACAAC